UAGGGAAUAUUAGAAAUGGACGAGAGUCUGAUCUAGCAACACCGCGUGUGCGGAGAAGGCCUUCGGGUCGUAAAGCACUUUUUGGAAGGAAUGGGAAGGAAUGUACUUCCAGAAUAAGUCUCGGCUAACUACGUGCCAGCAGCCGCGGUAACACGUAGGAGGCAAACGUUAUCCGGAUUUACUGGGCGUAAAGCGCGUGUAGGUGGUACUGUAAGUAGGGCGUGAAAGCUCCUGGCUCAACUGGGAGAGGCCGUUCUAAACUACAGAACUAGAGGAUGGUAGAGGGAGGUGGAAUUCCAGGUGUAGCGGUGGAAUGCGCAGAUAUCUGGAGGAACACCGGUGGCGAAGGCGGCCUCCUGGACCAUUCCUGACACUCAGACGCGAAAGCUAGGGUAGCAAACGG
This 403-nucleotide ribosomal RNA is filed under the name uncultured bacterium. Its description in RNAcentral is "bacterial SSU rRNA". It matches the Rfam family "Bacterial small subunit ribosomal RNA", at positions 355 to 775 of the family's 1533-position model. The record is from RNAcentral.